This 468-nucleotide ribosomal RNA is filed under the name uncultured bacterium. Its description in RNAcentral is "partial 16S ribosomal RNA". It matches the Rfam family "Bacterial small subunit ribosomal RNA", at positions 28 to 507 of the family's 1533-position model. The record is from RNAcentral.
GACGAACGCUGGCGGCGUGCUUAACACAUGCCAGUCGAACGGAAAGGCCCUGCUUUUGUGGGGUGCUCGAGUGGCGAACGGGUGAGUAACACGUGAGUAACCUGCCCUUGACUUUGGGAUAACUUCAGGAAACUGGGGCUAAUACCGGAUAGGAGCUCCUGCUGCAUGGUGGGUGUUGGAAAGUUUCGGCGGUUGGGGAUGGACUCGCGGGUUAUCAGCUUGUUGGUGGGGUAGUGGCUUACCAAGGCUUUGACGGAUAGCCGGCCUGAGAGGGUGACCGGACAAAAUGGGACUGAGAUACGGCCCAGACUCCAACGGGAGGCAGCAGUGGGGAAUAUUGCAAAAUGGGCGGAAGCCUGAUGCAGCAACGCCGCGUGCGGGAUGACGGCCUUCGGGUUGUAAACCGAUUUCGCCUGCGAAGAAGCGUGAGUGACGGUAAUGGGUAAAGAAGCACCGGCUAACUACGUG